UGAUGUUUUUUCACGGUUACAACUUCCUGUCUCCCAGUCGCACGUUUUGUUUCAUUGUUUCAGGUUUAGUCCCUUCCCCUUCCCCACUUUUUGAUUCUCACGGUUUCAGCUUUUGUUCUACUAUUUCACUCACGGUUUCAUCUUCCUAUUCUAUGGUUUCAGCUUUAGUUUCGGCUUCUAACAAUUUGUUGAGAUCUUUGUCAAUUACAACACUUGGGUAACUUCCAAGAAGAGUUGCUGGAACAAACUGAUAGCUAAUGAGGACAAUGUAAUCGUUAACUGCAACUGCCAUAUGAUUUGCUGCUCUGCCUUAUCUCUUCUCUGCAACAUUAUUUUUUAAAGAAUGAGACUGAUUUUCAGGAUUUAUGAUGGCUGAACCAAUGCUCAUGAUUGGUGGCAAUAAUGCUCAACUUAAGUUGCUGCAUAACUCAUGUUGGUGCUGCUGCUGGAGGCUUAAGUAGCUGCAUAAUUGUUGGUGUUGUUGUUGCUUAAAGUCAAAUUCUUUUUUCAGACACUAUAUGCUUAAAUAUACUACAUUAUUUAAGUCAAAUUCUUUUUUAGAAAGAGCAUGUAAUUCAAUAACUUAUCAUUAUGUUUAGCUAUUUAAUUCCAUGAAAUUUCAGGUCAAUUGAGCCACAAGUGAAAGGAAACGAUUUACUUUGACUGUGA
This is a long non-coding RNA of Quercus lobata, 669 nucleotides long. RefSeq lists it as uncharacterized. Lineage: Eukaryota; Viridiplantae; Streptophyta; Magnoliopsida; Fagales; Fagaceae. The record is from RefSeq and is a predicted model, not a curated record. The transcript is spliced from 4 exons.